UGAUAGCGUUGAAGCGUGAGGUUGCUACUGAAUAUCAGUAGGUUUUCCGUGGAGCGAAUGUCAAGUUAGGAAACUGGCGACAA
RNAcentral lists this non-coding RNA (83 nucleotides) under human gut metagenome. RNAcentral describes it as "S10-Clostridia ribosomal protein leader". It matches the Rfam family "S10-Clostridia ribosomal protein leader". The record is from RNAcentral.